Potamilus streckersoni is the source of this 75-nucleotide non-coding RNA. NCBI's taxonomy places the organism in Eukaryota, Metazoa, Mollusca, Bivalvia, Unionida, Unionidae. The record is from the annotation of a GenBank genome assembly.
UGCUUCGUUUGCCUAGUGGUUAGAGCAUCCGCCUCUGAUUCGGAAGGUCGUGGGUUCGAUCUCCAGUCGAGUCAU